CGGGUGAGUAAUGUCUGGGAAACUGCCUGAUGGAGGGGGGUAACUACUGGAAACGGUAGCUAAUACCGCAUAAUGUCGCAAGACCAAAGAGGGGGACCUUCGGGCCUCUUGCCAUCGGAUGUGCCCAGAUGGGAUUAGCUAGUAGGUGGGGUAACGGCUCACCUAGGCGACGAUCCCUAGCUGGUCUGAGAGGAUGACCAGCCACAUGGAACUGAGACACGGUCCAG
This 227-nucleotide ribosomal RNA is filed under the name uncultured bacterium. RNAcentral's name for it is "partial 16S ribosomal RNA". It matches the Rfam family "Bacterial small subunit ribosomal RNA", at positions 103 to 334 of the family's 1533-position model. The record is from RNAcentral.